Molecule: transfer RNA, 74 nt
Filed under: Candidatus Coatesiibacteriota bacterium
Lineage: Bacteria; Candidatus Coatesiibacteriota
Description: Candidatus Coatesbacteria bacterium tRNA-Trp
Rfam family: tRNA
About the family: Transfer RNA (tRNA) molecules are approximately 80 nucleotides in length. Their secondary structure includes four short double-helical elements and three loops (D, anti-codon, and T loops).
Source: RNAcentral
AGGGCCAUAGCUCAACUAGGCAGAGCACUUGACUCCAAAUCAAGCGGUUGGGGGUUCGAUUCCCUCUGGCCCUG